AAUGAACGCUGGCGGCAGGCCUAACACAUGCAAGUCGAACGAGGCAGCAAUGCCUAGUGGCGGACGGGUGAGUAACGCGUGGGAACGUGCCCCUUGGUACGGAAUAGCCCUGGGAAACUGGGAGUAAUACCGUAUGUGGUCGAGAGACGAAAGAUUUAUCGCCAAGGGAUCGGCCCGCGUUGGAUUAGGUGGUUGGUGGGGUAAUGGCCUACCAAGCCGACGAUCCAUAGCUGGUUUGAGAGGAUGAUCAGCCACACUGGGACUGAGACACGGCCCAGACUCCUACGGGAGGCAGCAGUGGGGAAUCUUAGACAAUGGGGGAAACCCUGAUCUAGCCAUGCCGCGUGAUCGAUGAAGGCCUUAGGGUUGUAAAGAUCUUUCAGUGGGGAAGAUAAUGACGGUACCCACAGAAGAAGCCCCGGCUAACUCCGUGCCAGCAGCCGCCGCAG
This 449-nucleotide ribosomal RNA is filed under the name uncultured bacterium. RNAcentral describes it as "partial 16S ribosomal RNA". It matches the Rfam family "Bacterial small subunit ribosomal RNA", at positions 29 to 523 of the family's 1533-position model. The record is from RNAcentral.